AAGAAAAUGGUUAUACAUGAUGCACUUCUUUCACUUUGUUUUUCUUUCCCCCAAUGGUCAUUCUGAUUUAUGAAUGCCAUGACUAUUUGUAGGAUGAUGGAAUAUACGAAGUUGUUGUAGGAAGUGACUUUGUCAUUACUAAAGUUGCAUUUUGAGACAACUCUUCAAAGUACUACAUAAAUGACCGUGGAUGUAAUUUUAUAGAGGUCACUAAGAAAUUGAAAGGAAAAGGAGUGGACUUGGACAACAAUCGAUUUUUUAUUCUUUAGGGUGAAGUCGAGCAAAUUUCUCUAAUGAAGCCAAAGAUUUGUAUUUUCAGCAUUAUUGUAAUUUUUAUUGUAAUUGAUUGAAUGAAGGAUUGUAAUUGAUUGAAUGAAGGAUUGUAAUUGAUUGUAAUUGAAUGAAUGAAUGAUUGUAAUUGAUU
This is a long non-coding RNA of Magnolia sinica, 424 nucleotides long. RefSeq lists it as uncharacterized. NCBI's taxonomy places the organism in Eukaryota, Viridiplantae, Streptophyta, Magnoliopsida, Magnoliales, Magnoliaceae. The transcript has 2 exons. The record is from RefSeq and is a predicted model, not a curated record.